AUUGAACGCUGGCGGCAUGCUUUACACAUGCAAGUCGAACGGCAGCGCGGGCUUCGGCCUGGCGGCGAGUGGCGAACGGGUGAGUAAUCCAUCGGAACGUGCCCAGUAGUGGGGGAUAGCUCGGCGAAAGCCGGAUUAAUACCGCAUACGACCUGAGGGUGAAAGCGGGGGACCUUCGGACCUCGCGCUUUUGGAGCGGCCGAUGGCAGAUUCGCUAGUUGGUGGGGUAAAGGCCUACCAAGGCGGCGAUCUGUAGCUGGUCUGAGAGGACGACCAGCCACACUGGGACUGAGACACGGCCCAGACUCCUACGGGAGGCAGCAGUGGGGAAUUUUGGACAAUGGGCGAAAGCCUGAUCCAGCAAUGCCGCGUGUGUGAUGAAGGCCUUCGGGUUGUAAAGCACUUUUGGCGGGAACGAAAAGGACUGUGCCAAUACCACGGUUCGAUGACGGUACCCGCAGAAUAAGCACCGGCUAACUACGUG
RNAcentral lists this ribosomal RNA (484 nucleotides) under uncultured bacterium. RNAcentral's name for it is "partial 16S ribosomal RNA". It matches the Rfam family "Bacterial small subunit ribosomal RNA", at positions 29 to 507 of the family's 1533-position model. The record is from RNAcentral.